Molecule: ribosomal RNA, 935 nt
Filed under: Staphylococcus aureus
Lineage: Bacteria; Bacillati; Bacillota; Bacilli; Caryophanales; Staphylococcaceae
Description: partial 23S ribosomal RNA
Rfam family: Bacterial large subunit ribosomal RNA
Source: RNAcentral
GCUUGCUUGUUGGGGUUGUAGGACACUCUAUACGGAGUUACAAAGGACGACAUUAGACGAAUCAUCUGGAAAGAUGAAUCAAAGAAGGUAAUAAUCCUGUAGUCGAAAAUGUUGUCUCUCUUGAGUGGAUCCUGAGUACGACGGAGCACGUGAAAUUCCGUCGGAAUCUGGGAGGACCAUCUCCUAAGGCUAAAUACUCUCUAGUGACCGAUAGUGAACCAGUACCGUGAGGGAAAGGUGAAAAGCACCCCGGAAGGGGAGUGAAAUAGAACCUGAAACCGUGUGCUUACAAGUAGUCAGAGCCCGUUAAUGGGUGAUGGCGUGCCUUUUGUAGAAUGAACCGGCGAGUUACGAUUUGAUGCAAGGUUAAGCAGUAAAUGUGGAGCCGUAGCGAAAGCGAGUCUGAAUAGGGCGUUUAGUAUUUGGUCGUAGACCCGAAACCAGGUGAUCUACCCUUGGUCAGGUUGAAGUUCAGGUAACACUGAAUGGAGGACCGAACCGACUUACGUUGAAAAGUGAGCGGAUGAACUGAGGGUAGCGGAGAAAUUCCAAUCGAACCUGGAGAUAGCUGGUUCUCUCCGAAAUAGCUUUAGGGCUAGCCUCAAGUGAUGAUUAUUGGAGGUAGAGCACUGUUUGGACGAGGGGCCCCUCUCGGGUUACCGAAUUCAGACAAACUCCGAAUGCCAAUUAAUUUAACUUGGGAGUCAGAACAUGGGUGAUAAGGUCCGUGUUCGAAAGGGAAACAGCCCAGACCACCAGCUAAGGUCCCAAAAUAUAUGUUAAGUGGAAAAGGAUGUGGCGUUGCCCAGACAACUAGGAUGUUGGCUUAGAAGCAGCCAUCAUUUAAAGAGUGCGUAAUAGCUCACUAGUCGAGUGACACUGCGCCGAAAAUGUACCGGGGCUAAACAUAUUACCGAAGCUGUGGAUUGUCCUUU